UGUUGAAUUGACCUUUUGUGAGUGCACCUGC
RNAcentral lists this non-coding RNA (31 nucleotides) under Rattus norvegicus (Norway rat). Lineage: Eukaryota; Metazoa; Chordata; Mammalia; Rodentia; Muridae. The record is from RNAcentral.